CCAUUUCAAUCCAUUUCUACUGUAAUCAAAAANCGUAACAAGGUUUCCGUAGGUGAACCUGCGGAAGGAUCAUUG
RNAcentral lists this ribosomal RNA (75 nucleotides) under Polystachya calluniflora. RNAcentral's name for it is "partial 18S ribosomal RNA". It matches the Rfam family "Eukaryotic small subunit ribosomal RNA", at positions 1754 to 1831 of the family's 1831-position model. The record is from RNAcentral. Lineage: Eukaryota; Viridiplantae; Streptophyta; Magnoliopsida; Asparagales; Orchidaceae.